Biomphalaria glabrata is the source of this 2778-nucleotide long non-coding RNA. RefSeq lists it as uncharacterized. The transcript is spliced from 4 exons. Lineage: Eukaryota; Metazoa; Mollusca; Gastropoda; Planorbidae. The record is from RefSeq and is a predicted model, not a curated record.
GUCCCAGAUGAAGCGCCUGUGCUGCGUGUGUUAAGAAUGGGAUUAUUUUUCCCACGACACUACUUUUUAUGAAUGAGAGUUCUUUUGAGCAUCACAGGUAUUGUGUAGAACAAAAGAAGUGCCGUUUCCGCUGGAAAUACUAGCGUAGUAAUUAACAGGAGUACGUAAACAAUAGCGUGUCCCACAAUUAAGCAUUGAUGCGCCUCAAGCGUCGACACGAUCAAUCGCCGGCAAUCUUGCACAAAAACCUCAUUUAAUCUGUUUUUUGUGAUCUUUUGUGAAUCAACAACCCAUCAGAUUUCAGUAAUGGAGUAUCUGUUAGAGUUUCAAGGCGUCUACAAGCCAAGAAAGACUCUAAAUUUACAAGCAUCAAAGCCUGAGUCUCUAACACGUGUUGCUGUUUUAGAGCAGAGAGAAAAGGAAAGGUUGAGAAAAGCUGCAUACAGGGCCUAGUUAAGCCCACAUGAAAAAGCUUGGAUAAACAGAAAACGCAAAGAAAGAAAACAGCAAGCUAAUAGUCCACUUAAUGUCAUCUCAGCAGAGGUUGGUGAAUCACUAGGUACUGGAUUCCAGACUCCAGUGGCAAAAAAAAAAUGGCUGUUUCAAGGGCUUUGAUGAAAUUGCCUAGGUCACCCAAGAAAUAUGCUGCAGUUUUUGAAGGUCUCACACAAAUAUGCUCCCUAAGAAAAAGUAAAGCUGUCCAUGACUUACGCUUUCUGCGCCUACCUGAGAGAAGAAAGCUCAUCCUUCUAAACAACAUUAAAGAAAGUAUCAAAACCUAACUACACUCCACCAGCAAAAAAAAAAGUCAGAUGUCUAGUGCUCGUAGACAAGUACUCUGCAGUAUCCUUAGUAAGUACAACAAACUCAGAGGUUGUGCUACUCAUUUCUAACAUUUGGUCAAGAAGUUUUAUGUCCAAGUGCAAAUCAGAACAAAUUGCAAGAAAAAAAAUGACGUGAUUGCAUUGCACAAAAUGCCUUGGAAACAAUAUUCAUUUUUUACAGUAGAGGGGAUGUCUCAAGAACUGAUCCCUCUCAAUCAUCUGUUAGUGCUCAAACAGGAAAACGUUUCAUGCAAAAGCUACUUAACAUAAGAUGCAGUCUUGCUUAUGUGAGUUGUGUUUGAAGAUUUUUCUUUAUAUAUAUAGAGGGCAUUAAUAAAUUUCUGAUCAAAAAAGGACACAGAGAGCUGACAUUAAUAAAUCUAGCUUCAUCACUUGACUUAACUCUAUGCCCAAGAACUAAUGCCAAUUGUUUUCAUAAGCUGCAGUGCAUUGAAAGAUCAUGUAGCAACUGUGGUGUGGAUUUAAUUAACAAGUAUUGAGCCUUUAAAAAAUUGCACAGAUGAAUUAGCAGAGUGGAGUAUGUUCAGAGUGAUGGUACACUGCAAAAGGUAUCAAAGUGGCGACCAGUAAAUAAAGAAGGAUCUUUUAAUGACCUAGUGAGAGGUAUUACACCUAACACUAUUGCUUACAGAAAUAGAAGCUGUUUCUGCUAUCCAUGCAGAAAUUCAUAUGGCAGUCAGUGCCUGCAUGAUGAAAUAUGUGGCUCUUGGAAGGUGUUCAAACUUCAGAAACAAAAUGUAGUGCAAUCUCAGUCAAAUCUUGAAGACUCUUUGGAUGUCAGUCCCAUAUGCUCAAAUUCAAAGGCCCAAACAAAUUCCUUCACUAAUCAAAAGUACAUUGUAAAUAGCUGUGUGAUUGUCAAGUAUGGGGAAAUAUUCUAUCCAGGUAUAAUUUUUUGCACUGUGUACCUUUUAAUUUCAAUAAACAAGUUCAAAGUAUGUUUUAGAUUGAAGUAUUAACUUUUCAACAUUGCUGGUAAUUUUUUCUAACAGGAGUUGUGAUAGAAGUCCUGGAUGAUCAGCGCAGAAAUAAUUUUUAAAAAAGGCACAGAAAUAAAAGAAAUAUAUUUGUAUAUCCAGAAGUGCAGGACAUACAGUUAGUGUAUGCAGACAUGAUUGUUACUGAAGUGAUGUUGAUACCAAUGGCAAUAGUUUGAGAGUGGAAUGUUUUGAUUUCUGAAUUUGUGAAAUAAAAUUUGUGUACAGUUUUAUGUGUUUUCUUUUCUUUCUUUUUUUUUUUCAAACCUUUUUCUGUGUGUUAAAACUAACAAAAGAUAUAAAAUAUAUAUUUGUCAAUAAUUAAAAAUAAUAAUGAUCAUUCACUUGUGCACAGAUAAGACAAAAAUAUAAACUUAUAAACAUUAUUUUAAAAAAUGGUGUCCCAUGAAGCACCUGCGACAUUUUGUGAAAUUAAAGCAGCAUUUUUACAAAUGGGUACUUUAUGACUAGAAUAGUGAACUUAAUAACAAGUCUAAUGGAUCACUUUAGUGCAAAAAUAAAAUAAUUUCUAUAUUCUCACAGAAUAUCUUUUAAAAAAACUUUAACUUGUAGUGUCACAGGUGCUACGGUGUCCCAAUUUUUGAAUUGAGCUCAAAUCCACUUUUUCUAUGCAAAAGCAUAAAUUUCAGUAUCUAAAGACUAAUAUCAAUAAAGACAGUUAUAUUAUGCUAAAAUACAAUGAAUUUAUCAAUUGGUCAUUGUUAAAUUAUCAAGUGGUGUCCCGGUGAUGCACCUGUGACGCAAAAGGGGGUACCCCUUGAAUAGACACUGCUGUCAAAAUCUACAUCUUGCAAUUCAUUUUCUAUUGAUAAAUUCUUAAAGUGAACUGGUUGAAGAAGUGAAUACAGUUGAAAUGAAACCAAAAACUUCAACUUUAAUUUUUAGCAUAAUGUGACACUUUUUGGCACCAGUACUGGAGAAACACUCAGAUGCCA